CGUCUAUAUACGUAUAGCAUAUCAAUAAGCGGAGGAAAAGAAACUAACAAGGAUUCCCUUAGUAACGGCGAGUGAAGCGGGAAGAGCUCAAAUUUGAAAUCUUCAAGGUUCUACCUUGACGAAUUGUAGUUUAAAGAAGUGUUUUCUGUUGGAGUUUUGGUAAAAGUUCUUUGGAAUAGGACAUCAUAGAGGGUGAGAAUCCCGUAUUUGAUCACUUUCUACUAACGUUGUGAUACACUUUCAAAGAGUCGGAUUGUUUGGGAAUGCAGUCCAAAAUGGGUGGUAAAUUUCAUCUAAAGCUAAAUAUUGGCGAGAGACCGAUAGCGAACAAGUACCGUGAGGGAAAGAUGAAAAGAACUUUGAAAAGAGAGUUAAACAGUACGUGAAAUUGUCAAAAGGGAAGCGUUUGACACCAGUGUUGUUUUCUCGAAAAUCAAUUAAAAAUGACCGGAUUUUGUGUUGUAUUGACUUUAUCAGCUUUCUGCACUUUUUUCUUGUCUUUUUUAAUGCACUUUUCGUUUAACAAGUCAACAUCAAUUUCUUUUGUUGUAAAAGAGUCAUUGGAAGGUGGCUUUCACUUCGGUGAAAGUGUUUAUAGCCUUUGGCUUCUGCAAUCGGAGAGAUUGAGGUCUGCAGCGUAGAUCCUUCGGGGUUAGAUACAUUUGUGCUAAGUUAUAGUUUUUCAUAGACAACAUGUUGACUAUGAUUAAUCAUGUAGCUUACUCGCUUAUGCUAUUUUACCUACGCUUAGGAUGUUGAUAUGCAUGACUGAUAU
RNAcentral lists this ribosomal RNA (775 nucleotides) under uncultured Neocallimastigales. RNAcentral's name for it is "partial large subunit ribosomal RNA". It matches the Rfam family "Eukaryotic large subunit ribosomal RNA", at positions 26 to 635 of the family's 3401-position model. Lineage: Eukaryota; Fungi; Neocallimastigomycota; Neocallimastigomycetes; Neocallimastigales. The record is from RNAcentral.